RNAcentral lists this ribosomal RNA (844 nucleotides) under uncultured bacterium. RNAcentral's name for it is "bacterial SSU rRNA". It matches the Rfam family "Bacterial small subunit ribosomal RNA", at positions 51 to 890 of the family's 1533-position model. The record is from RNAcentral.
ACACAUGCAAGUCGAGGGGCAGCGAGGGAGUGGCAACACUUCUGUCGGCGACCGGCGCACGGGUGAGUAACGCGUAUGCAACCUGCCCUUCACAGGGGGAUAACCGGGAGAAAUUCCGACUAAUACCGCAUACGUCCUCCGGGGGCAUCCCCGGGGGAUGAAAGAGUUAUCGGUGAAGGAUGGGCAUGCGUGAUAUUAGGUAGUUGGCGGGGCAACGGCCCACCAAGCCCACGAUAUCUAGGGGUUCUGAGAGGAAGGUCCCCCACAUUGGUACUGAGACACGGACCAAACUCCUACGGGAGGCAGCAGUGAGGAAUAUUGGUCAAUGGACGAGAGUCUGAACCAGCCAAGUCGCGCGAAGGAAGACGGAUCUAUGGUUUGUAAACUUCUUUAGUGCGGGAACAAAGCGGCGUCGUGACGCCGGAUGAGUGUACCGCAAGAAUAAGCAUCGGCUAACUCCGUGCCAGCAGCCGCGGUAAUACGGAGGAUGCGAGCGUUAUCCGGAUUUAUUGGGUUUAAAGGGAGCGCAGGCUGCGAGGCAAGUCAGCGGUCAAAUGUCGGGGCUCAACCCCGGCCUGCCGUUGAAACUGUUUUGCUAGAGUUCGAGUGAGGUAUGCGGAAUGCGUUGUGUAGCGGUGAAAUGCAUAGAUAUGACGCAGAACUCCGAUUGCGAAGGCAGCAUACCAACUCGCGACUGACGCUGAGGCUCGAAAGCGUGGGUAUCGAACAGGAUUAGAUACCCUGGUAGUCCACGCAGUAAACGAUGAAUACUAACUGUUCGGAGGGCGACCUCUGAGUGGUAAAGCGAAAGCGUUAAGUAUUCCACCUGGGGAGUACGCCGGCA